Molecule: long non-coding RNA, 3722 nt
Filed under: Sus scrofa (pig)
Lineage: Eukaryota; Metazoa; Chordata; Mammalia; Artiodactyla; Suidae
Description: lncRNA (ENSSSCG00000063398.1)
Source: RNAcentral
AUAUUUCUAUACAGCUAAAAUAAAUAAGACAAUCUGGAAAGUAGUUCAGAGAUAGGAAAAUACAAGUCUGUUACUUUAGGCUUUCUCUUCUCUUGAUCAGUUUCUUCUUCCCUAAAUACCAAGGUAUUUUUUUUACAGAUAGUUGCUACCCAUAUUCAAGCAUUUACCUUGAAAACUUCUCAAGACAAGACAAGAAACCAUUAUCUGCUAUAAAUUUCCUAAAGCUGAGAAGGGUAAACAAGUUAGCCAAAGAUUAAAGCAUUAAAUUUGAAUUGUGCUGAGUUUAGUUUUUAGAGAAAGAAAGGGAGGGAGAGAGGGGAAAGAAGUCCUCUUAGAGGAAUCCAUUUAGAUGAUUAGAAAGCUUAAAAUUGGCAGCUGAUAAUGAAGAAGGAAAAGAAAUAGCCUGACUGUUGGAAAAUUUUGGUUUAAUUAAAUCUGUUUUCAAAAGUAAGUUUUUAUUUUUUAUUAUAAUUCCAAAUUAUUAUUCAAAGAUUAGAAAAUACCAAGGCAAAAAGGAAAAAUGUCAUGUAGAGACUACUGCUGUUGUGGGGGAAUUUUAACCAUAAGAGGUAACUAAAGGAGGAGUGACAUUCCACAGGGAAAUCAGAAGGCAGUUCAAAGUAGCAGAGCCCCCAAAUAGCCACAUUUCCACAACACUGUAAUAUUAUCAUUUAAUCAGAUUGCUUUCCUAAAACCAGCUUUAAAAAUGGCAGUGUGGAAAUAAUUUUGGUACGUGAACAGAGUAUAGGAUUAGGAAUUUUUAUGGAGAGAACCAUGCAUGUUCCAAAGAGAGGGAGCCCUGAACCUGGAGCAGUGAAACCAAAUUUCCUCUGCUUGGAAAUAUUGCUUAUUACUGUCAGCCUUGCUCACUUUCCUCUUAGACACUCAGACAUUUAACGCUUUUCAAGUCAGUUCUUAAACUUCCUUGUCUUUCUAGUACUCCAUCCUACCUAACUCUCCCACAAGCUUGGCUCUCACGGGAAUGAUAAUAAUAAUGACAGCAAAAGCAACUAAUGUUUAUACAGCACACUACAGCUUAUAAUGCUUUCAUAUACAUCAUCCCAUUUAAUAUUUAUAUUGGUAUUCUUUCAAAUAAUAUUAAAUGACCACCAGCUAAUUUUCAAAGUGAACAGAACAAUCUAGUGAAUUGGUGUUACAAUCCUCCUUUUAACAUGGGGAAAUUGUGCUUAUGAAGUGUAGGAAACUUCAUUCAGAGGACACAGCUUUUAUUUAAACCCAGGAUUCAGCUCUAGGACUACCUACUUUAAAAAUUAUGCUUUUUUUUUUUCCGUGCUACUUUGAAUAUGGAACUAAAGGGUCAGUGAGUCUGAAUUUCUGGGACCUGGACCCUUAGUGUUCUAUCAGAAGAAUUUGUUUCAGAUGGACUUUUAAGCCCUGAAGUUUUUCUGGACCUUCUUUAGCGGAUAUCAUGUACUUGACUCAUUUUCGUAUAAAUAUGGUGAUAAACAAAUAGUGAAAGAUAUCUUUGGUUCAGAAUACUAUCUUGCUGCAUAAAACCCAAGGGGCUUUGCUAAUAUUUACAGACAAAAUAGUAAAUCUUCCACAAACAGCACACCUUAAUUCCUUUUCAUUAUUUUGAAUAUGUUGCAUGUAAAUUUCAUUAGAGUAAAGCUUUUGUGUGUUUUGUUCAGGGCUAUAUUCCCAGUAUCUAGAAUAGUGACCCAUACUAGAUGUUCAACAAAUAUUUGUUGAAUGAAUGAAAGCACCUUGCUUUUUGUUAGCAUGGAGGUAAAAAUUAAUUUAAAGUGCUUUGCACACAUCAUUCAUUCAACAAGUUAAGCCUUGGCCAGUCACUGUACUAGGAACUGAGGAUAAAACAUAGAUUAUGUCCUGGUCAAAUGAUUCUGUACUGCUUUUAACUUGCAGGUGACAGAAAUCUAGUACAUUUGCUUAAUCAAAAAGAAAAGUGAAAUACAUUGGCUCAGAUAACUGAAAGUUUUGAGAGAGAAAUGUGGCUUCAGGCAUUACUUUCCUAGGGGGUUCAUGUGCUACAAGAGAUAUCUUCUUCCUCUUCAUGUCAGCUAUUUUUUUUUUCCCAAGAUAGGCUAUCUUUAAAAGACAGCAAGGAAGGAAAACAAUAUAUCCCUGGCACAUCUUUAGCUAAUGGUUGCAGACCAUUUCUAGAGAGUUGUAAAAUAGAUGAAAGAUGGUUAUGAUCUAAGUGAGGGUAAUAUCAAUGGGCAUGAUAAAAGUAAACUAAUUUGAACAAUAUUUACAGAGUAAAGUAGAUUAGUAGAGAGGAAUAGAGACAAUGAAGAAAGGGUGAAGAAAACUACCAAUUCUUGAAAAUAUGAAUAGAUCAAACAACAAGUACUGAAAUUGAAAAUGUGAUUUAAAAACUUACAAAAAACGAAAAUUCAGGACUGAUGGUUAUACAAGCAAAUCUAUAAAAUAUUCAGAGAAGAGUUAACACCUAUUCUUCUGAAGCUCUUCCAAAAAACUAGCAGAGGAAGGAACACUCUCAAACUCCUUCUAUGAGGCCACCACCACCCUGAGAUCCAAACCAGACAAGGAUGCCACAAAAAAGAAAAAUUACAGGCCAAUAUCACUGAUGAACAUAUGCAAAAAUCCUCCACAAAAUAUCACCAAACUGAAUACAAAUAUAUAUUAAAAGGAUCAUACACUAUGAUCAAGUGGAAUUUAUCCCAGGGAUGCAAGGAUUUUUUAAUAUCCACAAAUCAAUCAUGUGAUACACCACAUUAACAAACUGAAGAAUAAAAACCAUAUGAUCUCUCAGUAGAUGUGAAAAAAGCUUUUGACAAAAUUCAACACCUGUUUCUGAUAAAAACUUCAGAAAGUGGGCAUAGAGGGAACCACCUCAACAUAAUAAAAGUCAUAUAUGUCAAACCCACAGCUAUCAUUCUCAAUGGUGAAAAACUAAAAACAUUUCCACUAAGAUCAGGAACAAGACAAGGAUGUCCACUUUAACUACUACAUUGUUUUGGAAGUCCUAGCAAUGGCAAUCAGACAAGAAAAUGAAAUAAAAGAAAUCCAAAUUGGAAAAGAAGUAAAACUAUCACUCUUUGCAGAUGACAUGAUACUAUACUUGGAAAACCCUAAAGAUACUACCAGAAAACCCUUAGAACUCAUCAAUGAAUUCAGGAAAGAUGCAGAUACAAAAUCGAUAUACAGAAGUUGAUUGCAUUUCUAUAUACUAAAAAUGAGAUAUCAGAAAGAGAAAUCAGAGAAACCAUCCAAUUUACCAUUGCAUCAAAAAGAAAAAAAUACCUAGGAAUAAACCUACCUAAAAGGGGCAAAAGACCUAUACUCUGAAAACUGUAAGACACUGAUGAAAGAUACACAAACAGAUGGAAAGAUAUACCAUGCUCUUGGAUUAGAAGAAUCAAUAUUGUCAAAAUGACUAUACUACCCAAGGCAAUCUACAGAUUCAAUGCAAUCCCUUUCAAAUUAUCAAGGGAAUUCUUCACAGAACUAGAACAGAAUAUUUUAAAAUUUGUAUGGAGGAGUUCCCGUCGUGGCACAGUGGUUAACGAAUCCGACUAGGAACCAUGAGGUUGUGGGUUUGAUCCCUGGCCUUGCUCAGUGGGUUAACGAUCUGGCGUUGCUGUGAGCUAUGGUGUAGGUUGCAGACGCGGCUCGGAUCCCAUGUUGCUGUGGCUCUGGCAUAGACUGGCAGCUACAGCUCCAAUUAGACCCCUAGCCUGGGAACCUCCAUAUGCCAUGGGAGUGGCCCAAGAAAU